This 35-nucleotide transfer RNA is filed under the name Rusa unicolor (Sambar). RNAcentral describes it as "partial tRNA-Phe". Lineage: Eukaryota; Metazoa; Chordata; Mammalia; Artiodactyla; Cervidae. The record is from RNAcentral.
AAAAUGCCUAGAUGAGUAUAUUAACUCCAUAAACA